This 510-nucleotide ribosomal RNA is filed under the name Scaptomyza consimilis. RNAcentral's name for it is "partial 16S ribosomal RNA". It matches the Rfam family "Bacterial large subunit ribosomal RNA", at positions 1825 to 2597 of the family's 2925-position model. Lineage: Eukaryota; Metazoa; Arthropoda; Insecta; Diptera; Drosophilidae. The record is from RNAcentral.
GUCUUUUUGAAAUAAAUUUAAAGUCUAACCUGCCCACUGAAAUUUUUAAAUGGCCGCAGUAUUCUAACUGUGCAAAGGUAGCAUAAUCAUUAGUCUUUUAAUUGAAGGCUGGAAUGAAUGGUUGGACGAAAUAUUAACUGUUUCAUUUGAAUUUUUUAUAGAAUUUUAUUUUUUAGUCAAAAAGCUAAAAUUUAUUUAAAAGACGAGAAGACCCUAUAAAUCUUUAUAUUUUGUUUAUUUUAAUUAUAAAGAUUAUUUUUAUUAUAAUAAAUUAAAAUAUUUUAUUGGGGUGAUAUUAAAAUUUAAAAAACUUUUAAUUUUUAAAGCCAUUAAUAUAUGUAUAUUUGAUCCAUUAAUAAUGAUUAAAAAUUUAAGUUACUUUAGGGAUAACAGCGUAAUUUUUUUGGAGAGUUCAUAUCGAUAAAAAAGAUUGCGACCUCGAUGUUGGAUUAAGAUAUAAUUUUGGGUGUAGCCGUUCAAAUUUUAAGUCUGUUCGACUUUUAAAUUCUU